Molecule: ribosomal RNA, 497 nt
Filed under: uncultured bacterium
Lineage: Bacteria
Description: partial 16S ribosomal RNA
Rfam family: Bacterial small subunit ribosomal RNA
Source: RNAcentral
GAUGAACGCUGGCGGCGGGCCUAAUACAUGCAAGUCGAGCGGACGGACGAGAAUAGCGCUUCUCUUAUGUUAGCGGCGGACGGGUGAGUAACACGUGGAUGCCCUCUAUAUAAGACUGGGGUAACGUCGGGGGAACGGAGAUCAUAUACGUCAUUAUCUUGAAACGCGGGGUUCAUAGGUGAAUAAGGUUCUUGCUGUCACUUAUAGGUGGUUGCGCGCUGCAUUAGCUAGUUGGUAAGGUAACGGCUUACCAAGGCAACGAUGCAUAGCCGAUCUGAUAGGAUGAUCGGACACACUGGAACUGAGACACGGUCCAGACUCCUACGGGAGGCAGCAGUGGGGAAUGUUACGCAAUGGGCGAAAGCCUGACGCAGCCACGCCGCGUGAGUGAAGAAGGUCUUCGGAUCGGAAAACUCUGUUAUUAGGGAGGAACAUAAGUAAAAGAAACUGUUCACAUCUUGACGGUACCUAAUCAAUAAGCACCGGCUAACUACGUG